GCCCAGAUGGCGGAAUCGGUAGACGCAGUGGAUUCAAAAUCCACCGAUCGCAAGGUCGUGAGAGUUCGAGUCUCUCUCUGGGCACCA
Molecule: transfer RNA, 87 nt
Filed under: bacterium
Lineage: Bacteria
Also listed under: 3 other names
Description: tRNA-Leu
Rfam family: tRNA
About the family: Transfer RNA (tRNA) molecules are approximately 80 nucleotides in length. Their secondary structure includes four short double-helical elements and three loops (D, anti-codon, and T loops).
Source: RNAcentral